RNAcentral lists this ribosomal RNA (728 nucleotides) under uncultured Nitrospirota bacterium. RNAcentral describes it as "bacterial SSU rRNA". It matches the Rfam family "Bacterial small subunit ribosomal RNA", at positions 44 to 766 of the family's 1533-position model. The record is from RNAcentral. Lineage: Bacteria; Pseudomonadati; Nitrospirota.
GCGCUUACACAUGCAAGUCGAACGAGAGGCCGUAGCAAUACGGUCGUACAGUGGCGAACGGGUGAGGAAGACGUGGGUAACCUACCCUCGAGUGGGGAAUAACCCGCCGAAAGGCGGGCUAAUACCGCGUACGCUUCUGUUCCUUCGGGGACGGAAGGAAAGCUGUGCCGUGGGCAUGGCGCUCAAGGAUGGGCUCACGCCCUAUCAGCUUGUUGGUAGGGUAACGGCCUACCAAGGCAACGACGGGUAGCUGGUCUGAGAGGACGAUCAGCCACACUGGCACUGCGACACGGGCCAGACUCCUACGGGAGGCAGCAGUGAGGAAUAUUGCGCAAUGGGCGAAAGCCUGACGCAGCGACGCCGCGUGGGGGAUGAAGGUCUUCGGAUUGUAAACCCCUUUCAGGAGGGAAGAUGGAACGGGCAACCGUUCGGACGGUACCUCCAGAAGCAGCCACGGCUAACUUCGUGCCAGCAGCCGCGGUAAUACGAAGGUGGCAAGCGUUGUUCGGAUUUACUGGGCGUAAAGGGAGCGUAGGCGGUUGGGUAAGCCCUUUGGGAAAGCUCCCGGCUUAACCGGGAAAGGUCGAAGGGGACUGCCUGGCUAGAGGGUGGGAGAGGAGCGCGGAAUUCCCGGUGUAGCGGUGAAAUGCGUAGAGAUCGGGGAGGAAGGCCGGUGGCGAAGGCGGCGCUCUGGAACAUUUCUGACGCUGAGGCUCGAAAGCGUGGGG